AUUGAACGCUGGCGGCAGGCCUAACACAUGCAAGUCGAGCGGCAGCGGAAGGAAGCUUGCUUCCUUGCCGGCGAGCGGCGGACGGGUGAGUAAUGUCUGGGGAUCUGCCCGAUGGAGGGGGAUAACUACUGGAAACGGUAGCUAAUACCGCAUAACGUCGCAAGACCAAAGUGGGGGACCUUCGGGCCUCACACCAUCGGAUGAACCCAGAUGGGAUUAGCUAGUAGGUGGGGUAAUGGCUCACCUAGGCGACGAUCCCUAGCUGGUCUGAGAGGAUGACCAGCCACACUGGAACUGAGACACGGUCCAGACUCCUACGGGAGGCAGCAGUGGGGAAUAUUGCACAAUGGGCGCAAGCCUGAUGCAGCCAUGCCGCGUGUGUGAAGAAGGCCUUCGGGUUGUAAAGCACUUUCAGCGGGGAGGAAGGCGAUAAGGUUAAUAACCUUGUCGAUUGACGUUACCCGCAGAAGAAGCACCGGCUAACUCCGUGCCAGCCGCCGCGGUAACAC
This 509-nucleotide ribosomal RNA is filed under the name uncultured bacterium. Its description in RNAcentral is "bacterial SSU rRNA". It matches the Rfam family "Bacterial small subunit ribosomal RNA", at positions 29 to 526 of the family's 1533-position model. The record is from RNAcentral.